Molecule: long non-coding RNA, 817 nt
Organism: Salvelinus sp. IW2-2015
Lineage: Eukaryota; Metazoa; Chordata; Actinopteri; Salmoniformes; Salmonidae
Source: RefSeq, a predicted model, not a curated record
CUUCAAGGUCACCCAAGUUGAGGUUCACGUCGAAGGUAGCAACGUCAACGAAAGCGAAUCUUAAACGAACCUAACCUACACGGAUAAAAACAUUGGACAAUAUGUAAACAUUGCUGGGAUCUUGUCCCCUGGACCUUGGAGGACUUUUGGUGUAGAUGUUGUUCAGGACCUACCAAAGCAAGGUUUCUCAAACAACUGUGGGGUGUUUUGUUUUGAUGGAAAACAUGCAGCAAAUUAGGCGAUGGUGGUGCCUAGUUCUCCUGCAGAACUUUCCCAUGCCGUCUGAAGAUGAGAGGUUGAAAGAUCGAAAAAGACGGCGAAAACAAAACACACUACAGAAUGAUGUAAAAGACUUCCCCCCAUGAAGUCACAGCAUGUCACAUCAGCAUCCAGCUCUGCAUGAUCAGGCGAUACUGAAAACAAAAUGCACGGCGAACUGGGAGCUGUGAACUGGGAAGCAGAUGUUCUUCUAAGCGACACCCUAGAGGCAGCAAGGUGAUGUGAACUCCAAACAUUUAAAGGCACUGUUCCCCURCCUAGUAUAAUUGGGAUGGAAGGGGAAGACCGCAUUACAACCCUUAAAGAACUACAGUUGUAUGAUGGCCUGGAUGAAGAUGAAAAUGUUCUCCUCAAGGAACCAUUCAUGUUACAGAGAGAUUAUGAGAUGUUCUAUGUGGAGGCAGUUGACAACAAGAAAAUUACUGUCUUUGCCUCUUUUGAYGAGCAGGAGUUAAGUGGUUAAAUCUUGUUUUGUCUGCUGUGUUAAUUGUUUCAAUUGUUAAUUGUGUUAUGUUUAGUAAAGAUGACGUAGAAGUCA